UCAGAACGAACGCUGGCGGCAGGCUUAACACAUGCAAGUCGAGCGCCCCGCAAGGGGAGCGGCAGACGGGUGAGUAACGCGUGGGAAUCUACCCUUUUNUACGGAAUAACGCAGGGAAACNUGUGCUAAUACCGUAUNAGCCCUUCGGGGGAAAGAUUUAUCGGGAAAGGAUGAGCCCGCGUUGGAUUAGCUAGUUGGUGGGGUAAAGGCCUACCAAGGCGACGAUCCAUAGCUGGUCUGAGAGGAUGAUCAGCCACAUUGGGACUGAGACACGGCCCAAACUCCUACGGGAGGCAGCAGUGGGGAAUAUUGGACAAUGGGCGCAAGCCUGAUCCAGCCAUGCCGCGUGAGUGAUGAAGGCCCUAGGGUUGUAAAGCUCUUUCACCGGUGAAGAUAA
RNAcentral lists this ribosomal RNA (397 nucleotides) under soil bacterium 6V-03. Its description in RNAcentral is "bacterial SSU rRNA". It matches the Rfam family "Bacterial small subunit ribosomal RNA", at positions 24 to 451 of the family's 1533-position model. The record is from RNAcentral.